AGUGAACGCUGGCGGUAGGCCUAACACAUGCAAGUCGAACGGCAGCACAGUAAGAGCUUGCUCUUACGGGUGGCGAGUGGCGGACGGGUGAGGAAUACAUCGGAAUCUACUUUUUCGUGGGGGAUAACGUAGGGAAACUUACGCUAAUACCGCAUACGACCUACGGGUGAAAGCAGGGGAUCUUCGGACCUUGCGCGAUUGAAUGAGCAGAUGUCGGAUUAGCUAGUUGGCGGGGUAAAGGCCCACCAAGGCGACGAUCCGUAGCUGGUCUGAGAGGAUGACCAGCCACACUGGAACUGAGACACGGUCCAGACUCCUACGGGAGGCAGCAGUGGGGAAUAUUGGACAAUGGGCGCAAGCCUGAUCCAGCCAUACCGCGUGGGUGAAGAAGGCCUUCGGGUUGUAAAGCACUUUUGUUGGGAAAGAAAAGCAGCAGGUUAAUACCCCGCUGUUCUGACGGUACCCAAAGAAUAAGCACCGGCUAACUUCGUG
RNAcentral lists this ribosomal RNA (492 nucleotides) under uncultured bacterium. Its description in RNAcentral is "partial 16S ribosomal RNA". It matches the Rfam family "Bacterial small subunit ribosomal RNA", at positions 29 to 507 of the family's 1533-position model. The record is from RNAcentral.